This 593-nucleotide ribosomal RNA is filed under the name uncultured Thermocladium sp. Its description in RNAcentral is "bacterial SSU rRNA". It matches the Rfam family "Archaeal small subunit ribosomal RNA", at positions 52 to 651 of the family's 1478-position model. The record is from RNAcentral. Lineage: Archaea; Thermoproteati; Thermoproteota; Thermoprotei; Thermoproteales; Thermoproteaceae.
UGCUAGUUUUUGUAGUAAUACAAAGCAUACGGCUCAGUAACGCGUAGUCAACCUACCCUAUGGACGGGGAUAAUCUCGGGAAACUGAGCAUAAUACCCGGCAGACCACUUAUCCUGGAAUGGUUAGUGGUUAAAAUGAUUCGUCGCCAUAGGAUGGGACUGCGGCCUAUCAGCUUGUUGGUGAGGUAAUGGCCCACCAAGGCGAUUACAGGUACGGGCUCUGAGAGGAGAGGCCCGGAGAUGGGUACUGAGACAAGGACCCAGGCCCUAUGGGGCGCAGCAGGCGAGAAAACUUUGCAAUGUGCGAAAGCACGACAAGGUUAAUCCGAGUGAUUUCUGCUAAAGGAAUCUUUUGUUAGUUCUAAAAAUACUAGUGAAUAAGGGGUGGGCAAGUUCUGGUGUCAGCCGCCGCGGUAAAACCAGCACCUCAAGUGGUCAGGAGGAUUAUUGGGCCUAAAGCAUCCGUAGCCUGUUCUGUAAGUUUGCGGUUAAAUCUAUACGCUCAACGUAUAGGCUGCCGUAAAUACUGUAGAACUAGGGAGUGGGAGAGGUAGACGGUACUCGAUAGGAAGGGGUAAAAUCCUUUGAUCUAUU